RNAcentral lists this ribosomal RNA (40 nucleotides) under Phomopsis sp. NR-2006-D53. RNAcentral's name for it is "partial 18S ribosomal RNA". Lineage: Eukaryota; Fungi; Ascomycota; Sordariomycetes; Diaporthales; Diaporthaceae. The record is from RNAcentral.
UGAACAAGGUCUCCGUUGGUGAACCAGCGGAGGGAUCAUU